AUAACGGUCUUUUUCAGGACCAUUAAUAUUUUACACAAAAUAAUCU
Molecule: non-coding RNA, 46 nt
Filed under: Mytilus galloprovincialis (Mediterranean mussel)
Lineage: Eukaryota; Metazoa; Mollusca; Bivalvia; Mytilida; Mytilidae
Rfam family: Histone 3' UTR stem-loop
About the family: The mRNAs of metazoan histone genes lack a poly-A tail. 3' end processing occurs at a site between a highly conserved stem-loop (modelled by this family) and a purine rich region around 20 nts downstream (the histone downstream element, or HDE).
Source: RNAcentral